Cordylochernes scorpioides is the source of this 75-nucleotide non-coding RNA. The record is from the annotation of a GenBank genome assembly. NCBI's taxonomy places the organism in Eukaryota, Metazoa, Arthropoda, Arachnida, Pseudoscorpiones, Chernetidae.
UGUCCAGGGAUGGGAACCCCCAGUGUUCCGCUUACCAGGCAGAUGCCAUGUCCACUAGGCUACCUAUCCUUGGAC